Molecule: ribosomal RNA, 435 nt
Filed under: uncultured bacterium
Lineage: Bacteria
Description: bacterial SSU rRNA
Rfam family: Bacterial small subunit ribosomal RNA
Source: RNAcentral
UAACGCGAAGAACCUUACCUGGGCUUGACAUGUUCCUGACCGGCCUGGAAACAGGUCUUCCCUUCGGGGCAGGAUCACAGGUGGUGCAUGGCUGUCGUCAGCUCGUGUCGUGAGAUGUUGGGUUAAGUCCCGCAACGAGCGCAACCCCCGUCGCAUGUUGCCAGCAUUUAGUUGGGGACUCAUGCGAGACUGCCGGUGACAAACCGGAGGAAGGUGGGGAUGACGUCAAGUCAUCAUGCCCCUUAUGUUCAGGGCUACACACGUGCUACAUUGGCGCGUACAGAGGGCUGCGAUACCGCGAGGUGGAGCGAAUCCCUUAAAGCGCGUCUCGGUUCGGAUUGCAGGCUGAAACUCGCCUGCAUGAAGGUGGAGUUGCUAGUAAUCGUGGAUCAGCACUGCCACGGUGAAUACGUUCCCGGGUCUUGUACACACCGA